RNAcentral lists this ribosomal RNA (441 nucleotides) under uncultured bacterium. RNAcentral describes it as "partial 16S ribosomal RNA". It matches the Rfam family "Bacterial small subunit ribosomal RNA", at positions 338 to 795 of the family's 1533-position model. The record is from RNAcentral.
CCUACGGGGGGCAGCAGUGGGGGAUAUUGCACAAUGGGGGGAACCCUGAUGCAGCGACGCCGCGUGGGUGAAGGAGCGUUUCGGCGCGUAAAGCCCUAUCGGCAGGGAAGAAGGAGGACGGUACCUGACCAAGAAGCCCCGGCUAACUACGUGCCAGCAGCCGCGGUAAUACGGAGGGGGCAAGCGUUAUCCGGAUUUACUGGGUGUAAAGGGGGCGCAGACGGGAGCGCAAGCCAGGAGUGAAAGCCCGGGGCCCAACCCCGGGACUGCUCUUGGAACUGGGCGGCUGGAGUGCAGGAGGGGCAGGCGGAAUUCCUGGUGUAGCGGUGAAAUGCGUAGAUAUCAGGAGGAACACCGGUGGCGAAGGCGGCCUGCUGGACUGCGACUGACGUUGAGGCCCGAAAGCGUGGGGAGCAAACAGGAUUAGAUACCCUUGUAGUC